CUGCCUGGUAGUGGGGGACGAACGUUUCGAAAGGAACGCUAAUACCGCAUACGUCCUACGGGAGAAAGCAGGGACCUUCGGGCCUUGCGCUAUCAGAUGAGCCUAGGUCGGAUUAGCUAGUUGGUGAGGUAAUGGCUCACCAAGGCGACGAUCCGUAACUGGUCUGAGAGGAUGAUCAGUCACACUGGAACUGAGACACGGUCCAGACUCCUACGGGAGGCAGCAGCA
This 228-nucleotide ribosomal RNA is filed under the name uncultured Pseudomonas sp. Its description in RNAcentral is "partial 16S ribosomal RNA". It matches the Rfam family "Bacterial small subunit ribosomal RNA", at positions 126 to 355 of the family's 1533-position model. The record is from RNAcentral. Lineage: Bacteria; Pseudomonadati; Pseudomonadota; Gammaproteobacteria; Pseudomonadales; Pseudomonadaceae.